RNAcentral lists this ribosomal RNA (468 nucleotides) under uncultured bacterium. RNAcentral's name for it is "partial 16S ribosomal RNA". It matches the Rfam family "Bacterial small subunit ribosomal RNA", at positions 28 to 507 of the family's 1533-position model. The record is from RNAcentral.
GACGAACGCUGGCGGCGUGCUUAACACAUGCAAGUCGAACGGAAAGGCCCUGCUUUUGUGGGGUGCUCGAGUGGCGAACGGGUGUGUAACACGUGAGUAACCUGCCCUUGACUUUGGGAUAACUUCAGGAAACUGGGGCUAAUACCGGAUAGGAGCUCCUGCUGCAUGGUGGGGGUUGGAAAGUUUCGGCGGUUGGGGCUGGACUCGCGGCUUAUCAGCUUGUUGGUGGGGGAGUGGCUUACCAAGGCUUUGACGGGUAGCCGGCCUGAGAGGGUGACCGGCCACCUUGGUACUGAGAUACGGCCCAGACUCCUACGGGAGGCAGCAGUCGGAAACAUUGCACAAGGGGCGGAAGCCUGAUACAGCGACGCCGCGUGCGUAAUGACGGCCUUCGGGUUGUAAACCGCUGUCGCCUGUGACGAAGCGUGAGUGACGGUAAUGGGUAAAUAAGCACCGGCUAACUACGUG